This is a long non-coding RNA of Theobroma cacao (cacao), 681 nucleotides long. RefSeq lists it as uncharacterized. The record is from RefSeq and is a predicted model, not a curated record. NCBI's taxonomy places the organism in Eukaryota, Viridiplantae, Streptophyta, Magnoliopsida, Malvales, Malvaceae.
UUGUUGGCAGGGGGAAUGUGUUGCUUUUGUUUUUGAGAGUUCUUUCUGCUUUCACAAUUCAUUGCCUUUUGGAAUUACUAUUUCUUAUUUGUUUGAACCAUGUGAAUAUUCUGAUCCUUGUAGAUGGGAAAUGCUGAUUUGCAACUGUUAUUUGAAACUAAUGAUGAAUUUUUUUUUUUUUUUGCAACUUUUCAGGGCGAUAAUGGGUUUAUGUUGUUGCUAAUGGCAUCAAGAAGCAUUUGGCAACUGCAGAACCUGAUUGUAAGCUUUUAUGAUUGGGGAGGAAGUAGUCUGGGUGUCUCAGGCUAUUCAUGGAGUCCCGUUUGCCAAUGUUUAAAAAGGGAAAUACUCAUCUGGAGGUGGUAUUGAACACAUACAUGGAUAGCAUUCUCAUCUGAAUUGUAUUUAUAAUAAGAGGAGGCUCUUUCAUUCUCUCUUUCUUUCCAUACUUUUUUUUGAACUUGUGAUUGUUUCAGUUGUGGGAAUGUUAGAAAUUUGUAUACUGAACGUAUGGCUACAACUGCAAGAAAUUAUCUUUUGUACUGGUUCUCAAUUAUUUUCCCAUGUUGGACAAAUUGGGAAACUCUCACUGGAACUGUCAUAUUUUCAUAAGGGAUAUUCCAAUUUCUAUUUUACAUAUGCAUUAGGGAAGUCUCUUGUUGAAAGACAGCAAUUCAAUCA